RNAcentral lists this ribosomal RNA (406 nucleotides) under uncultured bacterium. Its description in RNAcentral is "partial 16S ribosomal RNA". It matches the Rfam family "Bacterial small subunit ribosomal RNA", at positions 30 to 526 of the family's 1533-position model. The record is from RNAcentral.
AUUGAACGCUGGCGGCAGGCCUAACACAUGCAAGUCGAACGAGUGGCAGACGGGUGAGUAAUGUCUGGGAAACUGCCUGCUGGAGGGGGAUAACUACUGGAAACGGUAGCUAAUACCGCAUACCAUCAGAUGUGCCCAGAGGGGAUUAGCUAGUUGGUGGGGUAACGGCUCACUAAGGCGACGAUCCCUAGCUGGUCUGAGAGGAUGACCAGCCACACUGGAACUGAUACACGGUCCAGACUCCUACGCGAGGAAGCGGUGGGGACUUUUGCACAAUGGGCGCAAGCCUGAUGCAGCCAUGCCGCGUGUAUGAAGAAGGCCUGCGGGUUGUAAAGUACUUUCAGCGGGGAGGCGUUACCCGCAGAAGAAGUACCGGCUAACUCCGUGCCAGCAGCCGGGGUAAUUC